CCCUUAGAUGUUCUGGGCCGCACGCGCGCUACACUGGUACGUUCAACAAGUUUACAACCUUGACCGAAAGGUCUGGGUAAUCUUUUGAAUGCGUACCGCGCUAGGGAUAGAUUAUUGCAAUUAUUAAUCUUGAACGAGGAAUUCCUAGUAAACGCAAGUCAUCAGCUUGCAUUGAUUACGUCCCUGCCCUUUGUACACACCGCCCGUCGCACCUACUGAUUGAAUGACUCGGUGAAAAAUCGGGACUGCGAGAACAAUCGAUUAAUUUCGAAUGUACUUGUGGGAACUUUUUUUAACCUCGCCAUUUAGAAGAAGGUGAAGUCGUAACA
This 329-nucleotide ribosomal RNA is filed under the name uncultured eukaryote. RNAcentral's name for it is "partial 18S ribosomal RNA". It matches the Rfam family "Eukaryotic small subunit ribosomal RNA", at positions 1470 to 1796 of the family's 1831-position model. The record is from RNAcentral.